AACGAACGCUCGCGGCAUGCCUAACACAUGCAAGUCGAACGAGACCUUCGGGUCUAGUGGCGCACGGGUGCGUAACGCGUGGGAACCUGCCCUUAAGUUCGGAAUAACUCCCCGCAAGGGGUGCUAAUACCGGAUAAUGUCUUCGGACCAAAGAUUUAUCGCCUUUGGAUGGGCCCGCGUUGGAUUAGCUAGUUGGUAGGGUAAAAGCCUACCAAGGCGACGAUCCAUAGCUGGUCUGAGAGGAUGAUCAGCCACACUGGGACUGAGACACGGCCCAGACUCCUACGGGAGGCAGCAGUGGGGAAUAUUGGACAAUGGGCGAAAGCCUGAUCCAGCAAUGCCGCGUGAGUGAUGAAGGCCUUAGGGUUGUAAAGCUCUUUUACCCGGGAUGAUAAUGACAGUACCGGGAGAAUAAGCGCCGGCUAACUCCGUG
RNAcentral lists this ribosomal RNA (433 nucleotides) under uncultured bacterium. RNAcentral describes it as "partial 16S ribosomal RNA". It matches the Rfam family "Bacterial small subunit ribosomal RNA", at positions 29 to 507 of the family's 1533-position model. The record is from RNAcentral.